ACGUAGGGGGCAAGCGUUGUCCGGAAUUACUGGGCGUAAAGCGCACGCAGGCGGUUCGUUAAGUCGGAUGUGAAAGAACGGGGCUCAACCCCGGUUUGCGUUCGAUACUGGCGGACUGGAGUGUCGGGGAGGGAAGGGGAAUUCCCGGUGUAGCGGUGACAUGCGGGGAGACCGGGGAGGACAACGGUGGCGAGGGCGGGGACCUGGCCGGCUUAGGUCCCUCAUGUGCUAAAGCUGUGGGAACAUACGG
Molecule: ribosomal RNA, 250 nt
Filed under: uncultured prokaryote
Description: partial 16S rRNA
Rfam family: Bacterial small subunit ribosomal RNA
Source: RNAcentral